This 468-nucleotide ribosomal RNA is filed under the name uncultured bacterium. RNAcentral's name for it is "partial 16S ribosomal RNA". It matches the Rfam family "Bacterial small subunit ribosomal RNA", at positions 28 to 507 of the family's 1533-position model. The record is from RNAcentral.
GACGAACGCUGGCGGCGUGCUUAACACAUGCAAGUCGAACGGAAAGGCCCUGCUUUUGUGGGGUGCUCGAGUGGCGAACGGGUGAGUAACACGUGAGUAACCUGCCCUUGACUUUGGGAUAACUUCAGGAAACUGGGGCUAAUACCGGAUAGGAGCUCCUGCUGCAUGGUGGGGGUUGGAAAGUUUCGGCGGUUGGGGAUGGACUCGCGGCUUAUCAGCUUGUUGGUGGGGUAGUGGCUUACCAAGGCUUUGACGGGUAGCCGGCCUGAGAGGGUGACCGGCGACAUUGGGACUGAGAUACGGCCCAGACUCCUACGGGAGGCAGCAGUGGGGAAUAUUGCACAAUGGGCGGAAGACUGAUGCAGCAACGCCGCGUGCGGGAUGACGGCCUUCGGGUUGUAAACCGCUUUCGCAUGUGACGAAGCGUGAGUGACGGUAAUGGGUAAAGAAGCACCGGCUAACUACGUG